This 497-nucleotide ribosomal RNA is filed under the name uncultured bacterium. Its description in RNAcentral is "partial 16S ribosomal RNA". It matches the Rfam family "Bacterial small subunit ribosomal RNA", at positions 28 to 507 of the family's 1533-position model. The record is from RNAcentral.
GAUGAACGCUGGCGGCGUGCCUAAUACAUGCAAGUCGAGCGAACAGAUAAGGAGCUUGCUCCUUUGACGUUAGCGGCGGACGGGUGAGUAACACGUGGAUAACCUACCUAUAAGACUGGGAUAACUUCGGGAAACCGGAGCUAAUACCGGAUAACAUAUUGAACCGCAUGGUUCAAUAGUGAAAGGCGGCUUUGCUGUCACUUAUAGAUGGAUCCGCGCCGUAUUAGCUAGUUGGUAAGGUAACGGCUUACCAAGGCAACGAUACGUAGCCGACCUGAGAGGGUGAUCGGCCACACUGGAACUGAGACACGGUCCAGACUGCUACGGGAGGCAGCAGUAGGGAAUCUUCCGCAAUGGGCGAAAGCCUGACGGAGCAACGCCGCGUGAGUGAUGAAGGUCUUCGGAUCGUAAAACUCUGUUAUCAGGGAAGAACAAAUGUGUAAGUAACUGUGCACAUCUUGACGGUACCUGAUCAGAAAGCCACGGCUAACUACGUG